GCAAAAACUACUGGACGGAUUGGGCUGAAAUUUAGAAUGGAGAUAGCUAUUAUCACAUAGCCAUCCGCUAAGUAAGGAUAUUUGAAAAUGCAACCCCCAAGCGGGUGAAAUAGGGGUUCGAAAUUUGUGUAGUC
This is a long non-coding RNA of Maniola jurtina (meadow brown), 134 nucleotides long. RefSeq lists it as uncharacterized. The record is from RefSeq and is a predicted model, not a curated record. The transcript has 2 exons. Lineage: Eukaryota; Metazoa; Arthropoda; Insecta; Lepidoptera; Nymphalidae.